UGCGGAGCGCGUGGCGCAGCACGAUCUUGGGAAACGACACGCCCUUGAGCCGGGCGGUGCGGAUAUAUUGCGCGGUCAUCACCUCGGUCAUGCUCGCCCGCGUCAUCCGGGCGAUAUACCCCAUGCCGUAAAGCGCGAUGGUCAGCACCGGCAGGGUGAAAUUCUCGAUCGUGGCGUUC
This 179-nucleotide non-coding RNA is filed under the name Limimaricola hongkongensis DSM 17492. RNAcentral describes it as "Loktanella hongkongensis DSM 17492 Ruegeria cis52 sRNA". It matches the Rfam family "Ruegeria cis52 sRNA". From Rfam's summary of the family: Cis-encoded. Targets oligo/dipeptide ABC transporter. The record is from Rfam by way of RNAcentral. Lineage: Bacteria; Pseudomonadati; Pseudomonadota; Alphaproteobacteria; Rhodobacterales; Paracoccaceae.